UGCCACCAUGUGAAGAAGGUCCUUGCUUCCUCUUCAUCAUCUAUCAUGAUUGCAAGUUUAGGCCUCCUCAGCCACGUGCAACUGAAGUAGAACUGGGCUGCUUCAUAAGUCUGACUUCAUAUGACAGCUAGAUUCAAAAGGAUGAAAUCAGUAGAGGUGAGACCUCUUGAUGCCUUGGCUUGGAAGUCACAUAUUCUAUUGGCCAAAGCAAAUCACAAGGCCACCACAAAUUCAAGGAGAUGAAGAAAUAGACUCUACCUCUCUUGAUUGGCUUAUAAUAUGGUCAGUUCUUCAGAGGAAGAGGAAAAUUUCAUCUGGCCUCAAAUCUCAGUGAUCGCAUUUGUGGGAACAUAAUGUCUGAAGUAAAGACUAAGUAGAAGUCUGACAAGCAAAAAAAGAAAAAAAGACAAAGACACUCCAAGCAAGAGAAACAACCUGAGCAGAAGCACCCAGGUAUGACAGAAAACGUAGAGAGGAAAGGCUUCCAAAAGCAACAGAGAUUCACAGGAAGCUCCACAGAAAAACGGGUGGUGCAAAAAAUUAGGCAAGAGGGAAAAUGGGGUUAGGCCAUGUACCAACAUGUUCAUCAUUAUACAGUGAUUGGACUUGGAAAGGCAGAAGAGAAGCAAGAGCCAGCAUCCUCAUCUUAUAAACAGAAAAGCUGUCUGGGCGUGGUGGCUCAUGCCUGUAAUCCUAGCACUUUGGGAGGCCAAAGCGGGCGGAUCACGAGAUCAGGAGAUCGAGACCAUCCUGGCUAACACAGUGAAACCCCGUCUCUACUAAAAAUACAAAAAAUAUUAGCCGGGCAUAGUGGCGGGCGCCCGUAGUCCCAGCUACUCGGGAGGCUGAGGCAGGAGAAUGGCGUGAACCCGGGAGGCAGAGCUUGCAGUGAGCCGAGAUCAUGCCACUGCACUCCAGCCUGGGCGACAGAACGAGACUCUGUCUCAAAAAAGAAAAGCUAAGGACCAGGUGUUUUUCAGUGACUUACCCAAGGUCACAUCCUUACUCAGGAGCAGAGUUUAGGCAGUGUUCCAGGUCUUCUACUUCUAAAUCCAACAAUGUUCAGGGAGCUCUUCAUUAUCUGAUCCCUGUCUACCUACCACUUUCUAUGGUGAUACCCAGUUCCCAGCCUUGCUGUCCUUUUUCUCCUCUGGCACGUUUGUCUUCAUAUUUUGGGGCCUUUGCCUACACUUAUCCCACUUAAAAGCCUUUCCCUCACUUAACCUUCUCAAAUUCUGACCAAGAACUGAUAACUUGCAACUCAUGAUUCAAGACCUUACUGAGGAGUCUGCUCCUUUAGAGUCCAGUGUGUGUCCUUCUAAUACUCCUUGAUAUGGUUUGGCUCUGUGUCCCCAUCCAAAUCUCAUCUCGAAUUGUAAUCCCCACAUGUCUAGGGAGAGAUCCAGUGGGAGGUGAUUGGAUCAUGGGGGCAGUUUCCCCCAUGCUGUUCUCAUGAUAGUGAGUGAAUUCUCAUGAGAUCUGGUGGUUUUAUAAGGUGCUCUUCCC
RNAcentral lists this long non-coding RNA (1506 nucleotides) under Homo sapiens (human). RNAcentral describes it as "HSALNT0045378". Lineage: Eukaryota; Metazoa; Chordata; Mammalia; Primates; Hominidae. The record is from RNAcentral.